This 253-nucleotide ribosomal RNA is filed under the name uncultured bacterium. RNAcentral describes it as "partial 16S ribosomal RNA". It matches the Rfam family "Bacterial small subunit ribosomal RNA", at positions 524 to 776 of the family's 1533-position model. The record is from RNAcentral.
UACGUAGGGUGCAAGCGUUAAUCGGAAUUACUGGGCGUAAAGCGUGCGCAGGCGGUUUUGUAAGUUUGUCGUGAAAUCCCCGGACUUAACCUGGGAAUUGCGAUGAAGACUGCAAGGCUAGAAUCUGGCAGAGGGGGGUAGAAUUCCACGUGUAGCAGUGAAAUGCGUAGAGAUGUGGAGGAACACCGAUGGCGAAGGCAGCCCCCUGGGUCAAGAUUGACGCUCAUGCACGAAAGCGUGGGGAGCAAACAGG